RNAcentral lists this unclassified non-coding RNA (166 nucleotides) under uncultured Cryptosporiopsis. RNAcentral describes it as "sequence contains ITS1". Lineage: Eukaryota; Fungi; Ascomycota; Leotiomycetes; Helotiales; Dermateaceae. The record is from RNAcentral.
CAGAGACUCUGCCCUUUGGGUAGACCUCCCACCCUGUGUCGUUAUACCUCUGUUGCUUUGGCGGGCCGCAGGGCCCCGUCCCUGCCCCUGGCUCCGGCUAGGGCGCGCCCGCCAGAGGACCUCAAAACCUGAAUGUUAGUGUCGUCUGAGUACUAUAUAAUAGUUA